UAGGUUAAAAUUGGCACAUAACAGGUUUGU
Molecule: non-coding RNA, 30 nt
Filed under: Mus musculus (house mouse)
Lineage: Eukaryota; Metazoa; Chordata; Mammalia; Rodentia; Muridae
Source: RNAcentral